GGAUGUGAGGGCCAUCUGGCUACGACAUCUGUCAACCCAUUGAUUGCCAGGGUUGAUUUGGCUGAUCUGGCUGGCUAGGCGGGUGUCUCCCUCCUCCCUCACAGAUUCAUGUGCUCCCUCCCGAAGCUGCACUCAGUGAAAGAGGACGACCUUCCCCCCAGAAGAGAGGACCAGUCUUUGGUCAAGGGUAUAGGAGUAGCUGUUCUCCCCACAUAAGCUCUCAAGACACCUGAUAAACACAGCAAACACCAUGGGAUUCCUU
This 262-nucleotide small nuclear RNA is filed under the name Myotis brandtii (Brandt's bat). Its description in RNAcentral is "7SK RNA". It matches the Rfam family "7SK RNA". From Rfam's summary of the family: 7SK was discovered as an abundant small nuclear RNA in the mid-70s but a possible function has only recently been suggested. Two independent studies have found that 7SK RNA binds the CDK9/cyclin T complex (known as elongation factor P-TEFb). Lineage: Eukaryota; Metazoa; Chordata; Mammalia; Chiroptera; Vespertilionidae. The record is from Rfam by way of RNAcentral.